RNAcentral lists this ribosomal RNA (153 nucleotides) under uncultured Trebouxia photobiont. RNAcentral describes it as "5.8S ribosomal RNA". It matches the Rfam family "5.8S ribosomal RNA". From Rfam's summary of the family: 5.8S ribosomal RNA (5.8S rRNA) is a component of the large subunit of the eukaryotic ribosome. It is transcribed by RNA polymerase I as part of the 45S precursor that also contains 18S and 28S rRNA. Functionally, it is thought that 5.8S rRNA may be involved in ribosome translocation. Lineage: Eukaryota; Viridiplantae; Chlorophyta; Trebouxiophyceae; Trebouxiales; Trebouxiaceae. The record is from RNAcentral.
CAACUCUCAACAACGGAUAUCUUGGCUCCCGUAACGAUGAAGAACGCAGCGAAAUGCGAUACGUAGUGUGAAUUGCAGAAUUCCGUGAACCAUCGAAUCUUUGAACGCAAAUUGCGCUUGAGCCUCGGCCAAGAGCAUGUCUGGCUCAGCGUC